UUUCCGUAGGUGAACCUGCGGAAGGAUCAUUAAAAAAUGAGACCUCGAUUUUAAGGUCUAUUAAUAUCCUACCCUUUGUGAAUUUGUUUUGUUUUAAUAUUGUGUCCUUUCCCUGGUUUGAUGGAGCUUGUUUAAAGCAAAAUCAAUCCAGGGGAAUGGCAAAACCUUUUUUUAAAUUAAACUUUUUGUAUUCAUUUGUCUAAAAUUAUUUUUAUAAUAUAAAAACAACUUUUGACAAUGGAUCUCUUGGUUCUCGCAACGAUGAAGAACGCAGCAAAAUGCGAUAAGUAGUGUGAAUUGCAGAAUACGUGAAUCAUCGAAUCUUCGAACGCAUAUUGCACUUUUUUGGUUUACCAAAAAAGUAUGUCUGUUUGAGUAUCAGUAAAAUAUUCUCAUAAAAACUUUUUGUUUUUAUGGUUAUGAGUGUUUUACAACGAUAAACAAGUUGUUUCACUUUAAAUUCUUUUCUUUAAAAAAUCAUUAAAAACUGAUUUUUUUUAAAAUUGGAUAAAAUUUUCCCGUAAAAAGGAAUAACCUAAACAAUUUUAAUUUAAUUGUUUGAUUUCUUUAAGAUUUAAAGGAAAAAAGUAAAAAUUAACUUGAUCUCAAAUCAGAUAAGAGUACCCGCUGAACUUAAGCAUAUCAAUAAGCGGAGGAAAAGAAACUAACUAGGAUUCCCUCAGUAACGGCGAGUGAAGCGGGAAGAGCUCAAAUUUGAAAUCUUCAAGGUUCUACCUUGACGAAUUGUAGUUUAAAGAAGUGUUUUCUGUUGGAGUUUUGGUAAAAGUUCUUUGGAAUAGGACAUCAUAGAGGGUGAGAAUCCCGUAUUUGACCAUUAUUUCCAACUUGUGAUACACUUUCAAAGAGUCGGAUUGUUUGGGAAUGCAGUCCAAAAUGGGUGGUAAAUUUCAUCUAAAGCUAAAUAUUGGCGAGAGACCGAUAGCGAACAAGUACCGUGAGGGAAAGAUGAAAAGAACUUUGAAAAGAGAGUAAACAGUACGUGAAAUUGUCAAAAGGGAAGCGUUUGACACCAGUGUUGUUUUCUCGAAAAUCAAUUAAAAAGAGUUGGAUUUUGUGUUGUAUUGACUUAACAGCUUUCUGCACUUUUUCCUGUCUUUUUUAAUGCACUUUUCGUUUAACAAGUCAACAUCAAUUUCUUUUGUUGUAAAAGGGUCAUUGGAAGGUGGCUUUCUUUCGGAGAAAGUGUUUAUAGCCUUUGACUUCUGCAAUCGGAGAGAUUGAGGUCUGCAGCGUAGAUCCUUCGGGUUAGAUACAUUUGUGCUAAGCUAUAGCCUUUCAUAGACAACUUGUUGACUAUGAUCAGUCUGUAGCUUACUCGCUUAUGUCAUUUUACCUACGCUUAGGAUGUUGAG
This 1373-nucleotide unclassified non-coding RNA is filed under the name uncultured Neocallimastigales. RNAcentral's name for it is "partial contains small subunit ribosomal RNA, internal transcribed spacer 1, 5.8S ribosomal RNA, internal transcribed spacer 2, and large subunit ribosomal RNA". The stretch from base 601 to 1373 matches the Rfam family "Eukaryotic large subunit ribosomal RNA", at positions 1 to 630 of the family's 3401-position model. Lineage: Eukaryota; Fungi; Neocallimastigomycota; Neocallimastigomycetes; Neocallimastigales. The record is from RNAcentral.